RNAcentral lists this ribosomal RNA (446 nucleotides) under uncultured bacterium. RNAcentral describes it as "partial 16S ribosomal RNA". It matches the Rfam family "Bacterial small subunit ribosomal RNA", at positions 338 to 795 of the family's 1533-position model. The record is from RNAcentral.
CCUACGGGUGGCAGCAGUCGAGAAUCAUUCACAAUGGGGGAAACCCUGAUGGUGCGACGCCGCGUGGGGGAAUGAAGGUCUUCGGAUUGUAAACCCCUGUCAUGUGGGAGCAAAUUAAAAAGAUAGUACCACAAGAGGAAGAGACGGCUAAAUCUGUGCCAGCAGCCGCGGUACUAAAGAGGUCUCAAGCGUUGUUCGGAAUCACUGGGCGUAAAGCGUGCGUAGGCUGUUUCGUAAGUCGUGGGUGAAAGGCGCGGGCUCAACCCGCGGACGGCACAUGAUACUGCGAGACUAGAGUAAUGGAGGGGGAACCGGAAUUCUCGGUGUAGCAGUGAAAUGCGUAGAUAUCGAGAGGAACACUCGUGGCGAAGGCGGGUUCCUGGACAUUAACUGACGCUGAGGCACGAAGGCCAGGGGAGCGAAAGGGAUUAGAUACCCCUGUAGUC